AUUGAACGCUGGCGGCAGGCCUAACACAUGCAAGUCGAACGAGUGGCGGACGGGUGAGUAAUGUCUGGGAAACUGCCUGAUGGAGGGGGAUAACUACUGGAAACGGUAGCUAAUACCGCAUACCAUCAGAUGUGCCCAGAUGGUAUUAGCUAGUAGGUGAGGUAACGGCUCACCUAGGCGACGAUCCCUAGCUGGUCUGAGAGGAUGACCAGCCACACUGGAACUGGGACACGGGCCAGACUCCUACGGGAGGCAGCAGUGGGGAAUAUUGCACAAUGGGCGCAAGCCUGAUGCAGCCAUGCCGCGUGUAUGAAGAAGGCCGUAGGGUUGUAAAGUACUUUCAGCGGGGAGGCGUUACCCGCAGAAGAAGCACCGGCUAACUCCGUGCCAGCAGCCGCGGUAAUAC
Molecule: ribosomal RNA, 406 nt
Filed under: uncultured bacterium
Lineage: Bacteria
Description: partial 16S ribosomal RNA
Rfam family: Bacterial small subunit ribosomal RNA
Source: RNAcentral